UCGCGGCUUAUCACCGGCAGUCCCCUUAGAGUGCCCAACUAAAUGAUGGCAACUAAGGGCGAGGGUUGCGCUCGUUGCGGGACUUAACCCAACAUCUCACGACACGAGCUGACGACAGCCAUGCACCACCUGUAUAGGGCCCUUACGGACCUGCCAUCUCUGACAGAUUUCCCUAUAUGUCAAAUCCAGGUAAGGUUCUUCGCGUUGCAUCGAAUUAAUCCGCAUGCUCCGCCGCUUGUGCGGGCCCCUGUCAAUUCCUUUGAGUUUUAACCUUGCGGCCGUACUCCCCAGGCGGGGCACUUAAUGCGUUAGCGACGGCGCGGAUUCCGUUGGUUGGAACCCACACCUAGUGCCCAACGUUUACGGCAUGGACUAC
This 376-nucleotide unclassified non-coding RNA is filed under the name uncultured bacterium. RNAcentral describes it as "contains 16S-23S intergenic spacer region". The record is from RNAcentral.